GGCACUGAAGAGGUUAGAUCUCUCUGGUACUUGGGCACUUGAAAAGAUGCCUCAAGGCAUGGAAUGUCUAUGCAACCUGAGGUAUCUUAGAAUGAAUGGAUGUGGUGAAAAGGAGUUUCCUAGUGGGUUGUUACCUAAGCUCUCUCACCUGCAAGUCUUUGUAUUGGAGGAUUGGAUUCCUUUUGGUACCAAAGAUAAUAGAAGAGAACAACCUGUUCUGAUAACAGUUAAUGGUAAGGAAGUGGGAUGCUUGAGGAAGUUGGAAAGUUUGGAAUGCCAUUUUGAAGGUUACUCAGACUACGUGGAGUAUCUCAACUCUCGGGAUGAAACCAAAUCACUAAGCAGAUACAAAAUUCGCGUAGGACUACUACUGUAUACGUCUUCUUAUGGUUGUUAUAAUGGAUGCAGAAGGAAAACAAUUGUUUGGGGUAACUUGAGUAUCGACAGAGAUGGAGAUUUUCAGGUCAUGUUCCCAAAGGACAUUCAACAACUGACCAUUCAUAAUAAUGAUGAUGCAACAAGUUUAUGCGAUUUUUGGUCUCUAAUAAAGAAUGCAACUGAACUGGAGGCUAUCAAGAUUAGUGAUUGCAGUAGCAUGGAGAGCUUGUUUUCAUCUUCUUGGUUCUGCUCUGCUCCACCACUGGAGAGCCUGGUUUCAUCUUCUUGGUUCUGCUCUGCUCCACCACCAUCUCCAUCUUAUAGUGGAAUAUUUUUUGGUCUUAAAGAGUUUAGUUGUUAUGAAUGUAAGAGCAUGAAGAAGUUGUUCCCUCUUGUCUUGCUGCCAAGCCUCGUAAACCUGGAACGCAUUAUAGUUGGUAUCUGUGAGAAAAUGGAGGAGAUAAUAAGUGGAACAAGAUCAGAUGAAGAAGGGGUUAUGGGUGAAGAAAGCAGCACCGAUCUCAAACUCCCCAAGUUAAGAUCUCUGCAAUUGACGGGAUUACCAGAACUGAAAAGCAUUUGCAGUGCAAAACUGAUUUGCGAUUCUCUCGAAUACAUUCAAGUAAGGAAUUGUGAGAAGCUGAGGACGAUGGGAAUUUGUCUUCCGUUGCUUGAUAAUGGCGAGCCAUCUCCUCCCCCUUCUCUCAGAGAAAUCGAUGCAACGCGAAAAUGGUGGGAGUCAGUAGUGGAGUGGGAGCAUCCUAACGCGAAGGAUGUCCUUCGUCCCUUUGUAAGUUUUGAGGUAUGAUAUGAGUCUGCCCUUAAUAUAAUAUAAUAAAAUAUUGAAUUAAGUUCAGGUGCUUACUGGUUUUAUACUUUGAUUAUAUAAAUAUAAUAAAAUAUCGAAUUAAGUUUAGGUGUUUGGAAAUGGUUAUGCAGGCUACGGAGCUACUUCGGAAAUUGGCUCAGGCUCAGGCUCUGCAGGCUCAGUUGAAGAAGAAGAUUAAUAAAGUAUCGAAUUAAUUUUGCUGCUGCUACUUCCGUUUCGAGGAUCAAAUGGCAUUUGUCUCAAGUCAGGGGGCGUGGUGUUACAAUUUGUAGUAAAGUGCCUGAAGACGUUCAAGAAGCAGCUUUACAAGUCCUUUUUUAUAUGAAGCUGUGUGUGUAGGUUAGCAAAAUUACUACCAAAUCCUUUUUUAUAUGAAGGUUGUUGGUGUUUUUAGAAGGGUGAAAUAAUUAUUUUAUUGUUAUAAUCUACAAUAAAUUGUGUCUUUGUAUACAUUAUGAGCUUUUUUUUUUUUUUUUUUUUUGUAAUUCUGUUAAUUGUGUCUUGGUGUACUUUAGGCUCAAAAUUAGGUGUGAAUCAAAUGAAUCAUCAUAUUUUGAAAGUCACCGUGGAGCCCCUUCCCUAUUUUCUUUAUUAAAUGUUUUUUCUUUCUUUUGUUAGACGUGAUUUCGAAACAAUUCAUUAGACAAUUACUACUAAUUAGUCCUUUUUUUUUUUCCAUUGUGAUUACAACAAAAUUUUAGUAGAGUUUUGUAUGUAUUUACAAUAUUUCAAGCUAUUAUAGUUCAAAAUAAAUAUAAUCCAAUCUAAAUUCUAACAAUUCAAUGCAGAACAUUUGUUAAUACCUUUACCCGUGGAUUCAUACUUAUAUAUAUAUAUAUAUAUAUAUAUAUAUAUAUAGAAUUGCAUUCAUUAGACAAUUACUACCAAGACCCUCUUUUUGGUUGUGACAUUAUAUAUAUAGAACUCAUUCCCAGGAUGAAUAAAAUUUCAAAGUUUGAUAAUGAGCUAAAAAAUAAUACAUUAUCUUUUCCUUGCAUUACUUGUAAUCAGUCCAAAAAACUCAAAUUACAACCCUAAAGCGUAAAGCAUGGUGGUAAUUGGGCUGAGAGAGCGGUGCCUAAGAGUCAGUAGUGGAGUGGGAGCAUCCUAACGCCUUCGUUUCUUUGUACUUUUUAAAUAGAGGAUGAGUGACGCAGUGCUCUUAAUAUAAUAUUAAAUUAAGAGUAAGCAUUGUGGUUUUAAUUGGAUUAAGCUUAAGCUAUGUGUCAACAAUCUUAUGAAUAGUAAUUGUGUUUCAAUCUUAUUAAAUUACCAACCAUUUUAUCCACUUCUUUUAAUUUAAUCCUUUUUUUUUCAAUCUUAUAUGGGCUCAUUAAAUUUAAAGUAAUUGUGUUUUAAUUCAGUGAGUCUACAUUAAAAUGCAAGCGCAUGAAUAGUGUUUUGGUUCUGCCACAAGCGUAUUGAAUUUCCUAUAAUAAUUAGAAUAUAAUAUAUAGUUUUAACCCGCAUUUUACCACUUAAGUAAACACCAUUUAACAAUAAUAUAAACUAUUUGCAAUUAAUAAAAGGGACUGGGUCCAUUUGGUCCCAGGAAAGAGCCCCAAUAAGAAAACAAUAAAAGCCCAGGCCCAUAAACAUUUGACCCAGGGAAGAUCUACAGUGACACAGUGGUUGAUAAACAACCACAUUAUUAACACAGUUGAAAGUUACGGUAAUUCGUAUGCCAUAGCCAUUAUAACAAUCAAUGAAUAUAGCAUGUCACCGAAGCAAAAAUCCUUUUCUUUUUAAUGAAUUUUGACCAUUUUUAUGCCCGAGGUUGAUUUAAAAAAAAAAAUAUCAGUGAUCUGAUAUUUGGUAUUAUGAUGUUGAUAAAGUAUUUUUUAUAUAUUAAAAUAAUAUAUUAUUUAUUUUUAAAAUUUAUUUUUAUAUAUUAAUACGAUCUAAAAAAUAUAAUAAAAAUUAAUUUUAAAAAAUUGAUUUUUUUACAAAAAUCGCCAAACAUGCUAUUUUGUGAAGCAAGUUUGAGUUCGUACUUAGAGGUUUCUUUUUCUCUAUCCUUUCUCUACACACACUUAACUUCUAAACAAUGCAUUUGAAAAACUUAAAAAUCAGAGAAUAUUAACCUUCAGAUGAUUAAUUAAAUGUAAACUUAAAUACGAGCUGAAAUUCCAUGAUCUUCCCAUUUUCUCUGAUUAAUUUUAUCAGUGGCAAAAAGGGUGCAUGAAGUCCCCAUAAUUACAGCUUAAUGCACGUGAAGCUGGUCCCCGUAGCCUCUCUCUUUUCUCUGAUAUUACUCAAUAUUAUGCUUAAUGUCAUCUCUCUUCAGUGUUUUCUCCUCAAUGCAUUGACAGGAAAGGUGCCUGCAGAACUUGCCAAGUUGGUCAACCUGACAGAUAUGUAAGCAGACACUUUUUCUUUUUUUGUGCGUCUCUUAAUUGAAUCACAGGUCUACGAACCAAAAAACGAUAAAAAAAAAACAGAUAUGCAAUCAGCCUCUCUUACCACAGGAAAUGUUGCUGAUUUUGAUGCCAAAAAGUCUCACAUAUUAACUCUUAACAUGCCCGGAUUGUUUCGAUCUUUCAAUCUUCAAUGCUGAUAAUUCAACCAUGCACAUGGAUCAAAUUCAGUGGAAAUAAUGUUAUUGCAAUUCUUCAAAUAUUGUUUUUCACGUGUAUGUUCUUCAUCUUUUUAUCAAAAUUUUAUGCUCAACAAUAAUACUUUCAGUAAACUCUUGAGUUUGUAUUUCUUUGACACCUUUUAGGAGGAUGAAUGAUGAUAAUUUAUCAGGGAAAUUACCUGCUUUUUUCAGUAAGUGAACACAGGUUCAGAAUAUCUGUACCUUCUAGCAUUGUUUCCUUGACCAGACUAAGGAAGUGAUUAGUAACCAAACAGAAUAUCUGAAUUCUGUUUUUAUGUACAUGUAAUAUGCUUAUGAUACCAUGCUUUUAUGCUCUAUGAUACUUGAAGGAGGAUCAGUGACUUAACAGGAAGAGGGUCUUAUUACCCACCACUGAGUAAUAUGGAAUCCAUAAAACAUUGUGAGUUGGAGUUCUUCUAAUCUUAUGUCCUUUUCAGCUAAUGCUCUUGACCUUUGAUUUGUACAAUGAUUUUAAAAAUGCAGGGUUUUGAGGAACUGCUUAAUAUUUGGAUAGGCCCCAGACUAUGUUGGGGAGCUGGAAAAACUGAAAUGUUUGUAAGUGGUUCCAUCCAGAGGCUCCCUAAUGAUUCCCUUUCAAAGCAAUCAUUGUCAAUAUGAUUAUCAUUUGCUUUCUUAAGAAAUGUUCUUGAGAGUUUCCAUGAUGUUUUGUGUACCACUAAACAUUAUGAGAUGAAAUUCUGUGAAAUGGCUUGUUCUCAAGGACUCCAAUUACUCUUCAAUGGCCUUGGAAAGGGCCAGAUAGGCUCUCUCUCACAGGCUCAUCAUUGUCUUACAGCGCAAUCAUACAAGAUUUUCUGUUUGAAUCAAUUUUAUCUUAGAAAACGAUUUGAUUGUCUUUAAGCUUUCAGUUGAAAGUGCAAUUAAGAGCUACGGAAAACCCCUUUUAAUUUGUCGACGUACUUGACAGGAAACAAGUUCACUAGAUCUGUUCCUCAAUGGCUUCUGAAAAGAAACAAGAAUGUGCAUGUCGAUUUCCGCCAGAUUUAUUUUCAACUUGGAGUUCUGCUGCAACCCAAAGAAUUCCUGUUUCAAAUGUGCAAGAGGUCAAAUGUUCUCCAUAAAAUUGCUUAGGUUUUAUAUGUAGAACAGAAAACAAAGAAAACAGAGCAAAUUAUUAAUUCUUAGCCAUGAGUUUGAGGAUGGAACUUUUCAUUGUUGAAGGAAACCAAUUAAAGCUUGUGUACAAUUGCCUGUCCCGUGCUCUAUUUGUUGAGUUUAUUUCUUCCAUUCAUCAGAAGCAUUUCUUUUUGAGUUAUUGCUUUGGAAAUUGUCAGUAAGAGCAACACAAACUACAGGCCAAAGGAGGAGUUUGUUUACUGUUGGGUUGGUUGUCAUUAAUGUGCAACAACCAUUGACAAUUGCAGCAGCUGCAGCUGGAGUUGCACCAACCAUGUGCACUCAUCCAAGAUGUCAAAGGUUGGCAGCCACCAUUGUUGAAGAAGAGCUGGAGGAGCUGCCAUGGAUGCCUAUAAAUAGAGGCAUACAUUAGAGAGCAAGAUGAGAGAGUUAAGAGAGAGUGUGUAGAGCCAAAGAUGUGAGAAAUGUAGGAGAGAAUGGGCUGCCAAGGCAGCCAGCAGUAGCUGUCAUUGCAGCACUAAGAAGAGAGAAAUAGAGUGAGGUUGAGAGUUGCCAAAGAGGGGAUGAUUCCUCCUUCUCUAUUGUUGUAAAUCUUGUACUCUCCCUAUAUAAUGUAAUGGCUUCUCCCGUGGAUGUAGGCGGUUUGCCGAACCACGUUAAAUAUUGUGUCUGUGUGCUUAGCCUCCAAUGGGCAAAUAUCAGAACAUCACCGGUCGGAAUUCCCUACAAUUGCCUGAUGAACGGCACAAAGGAACAGUUGAGUUCCGUAUGUUCAAGGAUCUGAUGGAGUGGUGAUUUCUCCAAAGAAGUUAGAUUCGGUGACUGUAAUUUCUCGAAGGGAGAAUUAAUGAAGACCCUGAUAAUGGAAGAGAAAUACAGCAAGGGGAUAAAGAUUGGCACCCUAUUUUGACUUGGAUAAAUGUUGUGACAGGAUGAGCUGCUGUCAAACAUAAAAGCAAAGAAUAGGGAGAAAUCUGGAGAACCGAAAUUGCACGAGAGCACACGGAGAUUGUGCAGGAGUACCCGAAGGAUCCAACGAGGUACUGUAAUGAGACGAUAGGUGCAAGGAGAAGAAGAGUUCCCAGAUGAAGCUCAGAGAUUAUAGUUGAAGAGAUUAUAGUUGAAGACUGUGAGAAGAUGGAGGAGAUAAUAGGUGGAACAAGACCAGAUGAAGAGGGGGUUAUGGGUGAAGAAACCAGCAGCAGCAAUAUCGAAUUCAAACUGCCAAAGUUAAGAAAUAUGAAAUUGAGACGAUUACCAGAACUGAAAAGCAUUUGUAGUGCAAAAUUGAUUUGCGAUUCUAUCGAAGUAAUUGAAGUAGAAAAUUGCGAGAAGAUAGAGGAGAUAAUAAGUGGAACAAGAUCAGAUGAAGAAGGGGUUAAGGGUGAAGAAAGCAGUAGCAGCGAAUUCAAACUCCCAAAGUUGAAAUUGUUGGUAUUGACGGGAUUACCAGGACUGAAAAGCAUUUGUAGUGCAAAAUUGAUUUGCGAUUCUAUCGAAAGAAUUGAAGUAAGAAAUUGCGAGAAGAUAGAGGAGAUAAUAAGUGGAACAAGAUCAGAUGAAGAAGGGGUUAUGGGUGAAGAAAGCAGUAGCAGCGAAUUCAAACUCCCAAAGUUGAAAUUGUUGGUAUUGACGGGAUUACCAGAACUGAAAAGCAUUUGUAGUGCAAAACUGAUUUGCGAUUCUCUCGAAGUAAUUGGAGUAAGAAAAUGUGAGAAGCUGAGGAGGUUGCCAAUUUGUCUUCCGUUGCUUGAAAAUGGCCAGCCAUCUCCUCCCCCUUCUCUUAAAUACAUCAAGGUAGAUUCAGAAGAAUGGUGGGAGUCAGUAGUGGAGUGGGAGCAUCCUAACGCUAAGGAUGUCCUUCGUCCCUUUGUAAGGUUUUAGAUUUUAAAUUAAGAGUAAGCAUUGUUGUUUUAAUUGGAUUAAGCUUAAGCUAUGUGUCUACUUAAUGACUGAUUUGUUUAUUAUAUGAAUAGGUUUGUCAUCCGUCCCUUUAUGGAGUUUUCAUUCGUAAGCAUUCAUGUGAAACUCUUGUAAUUAAAAGUAGCUCGCUCAUAUUAAAAUCAAAUUUGUAGUCAAUCAAGACUUUUUUUUUUCUUCUCUAUCAAAAUCUGACCACUCUUUUUCCUCUCUGGAAUUAGAAAUCUAAAACUAAAAAAAAUAAAGUUUUAGACUAAAAUUGUAUUUUCAAAAAUUUAAGGGAUUGAAUAUUUAUAACUUGAAAAGCAUGAGGACCAAAAUGAACUUUUCAUGCUAAUCUUUAAAUUACCACCCAUUUUAUCCACUUCUUUUAAUUUGAUUCUUUUUCUUUCAAUCUUAUAUGGGCUCAACAAAUUUAAAGUAAUUGUGUUUAAAUUUAGUGAGUACAUUUCCUAUAACAGUGGAAGCGCAUGUAUAGUGUUUUGGUUCUGCUUUGUAUAUGCGACGACGCAUUGAAUUUACUAUAAUAAUUAGAGUCAUUGCAAUUUGCAAGCAACUUUAUGUUUUUUUGAUCUAAAGGAAUAGACUGAACCAUAUUCACCUAUUCCUCAGAAAAAAAUGUGUCGAAUUGUCAAGAACACCAGAAUGUUCUUCUGCCUUUGGUGUCGUCUGCACUUGAUGAAUUGAAAUACCAAAUGACUUGAUGAAUUGAAAUACCAAAUGCAUAAAGAAUGAGAAAUUUUACGAUUUUACAAUCUAUUUUUACAAUUUAAAUUUAUAUUAUAUUUUUCAUAUCAUACAAAAAAUAUAUUUUUAACAACUUUGAUUACGUUCAAAAGAGGACGCCGUCAUCUUCUCAAUGGUAUUACACAUGCCUACGACAAAUGUGUGGUUUGGCCUCUACCGCAUCUUUUAUCUUCUCCUCCUUAUUUUGUCUAUCUUCUCAUUACAAAAAUGAAAAAUUGUACUUUUAUUUGGUUUUUGUAUUUAAUUUAUUUUUUAUAUUUUUAAUUGCUAUAUAUUUUAUUUUAUUUUAAAAAAAUUUUCUUCAAUUUCAUAUCUAUCAUUCUUUUAAUUGCUAUUUUUUAAUUAUUUUUCUAAUUAAAUUUGGUUUUCAAUUUAAUUUUUUGGCAUUUGAUUUCAAAAUAUUUUUAUAUCAAAUUUAGUCAUUAUUCUUUUUAUUAUUAUUAUUUUGUUUUGAAGCCUUUUAUUUUGUAUUUUUUUUCAAAUUCAUCCCUCAUUAUUUUGUUGAUUUAUAAUUUUGUUUUUUUAUUUUUUAGAGUUUGUCUUCUAUGUGGUUGGUCCCUAGCUCGUGAGCUUUUUUUAUUGUAUUUUUUUAAAAAUUUAUCUCUCACUAUUUUGUUGAAUCUGAUCUAGAUCUUAGGCUUAUUUUUUUAAAAUUGAAUUUUUUUUCUCUUUCAUCUUUAUAUAUUUUUAAUUUAUUAGAGGUUAGUUUUCAUACCUUUAUUUUCAACUUUUUUUUAUGUCUAAUUAUCUUAAUUUUAUGCUCAUGAUUAUGAAUUUAAUAUGUUGACAGUAGCGAAAUAGAUGAAAAAGAUUUAACUUAGAAUGUGAAAAAUCUUAAAUAUUACGGUGCAAUAAUAUUGUACUAUCAAACAAGUGAAAUGAGACUAUUCAACACUUCAAGAGCAUCAAACAUCAAGGAAGAUCGGUGUAGUCUUAACUAAAAUAAACUUUUUAGAUAAUUGACAAAAAUUAAUAUUUUUUAUAGCGUAGAUGGGAGAUGCAUGUUUGGCCAUUGCAAGUUGUUCUGUAGCAAAAACUCUAGUGAGAAAUUUAUGAAAAAUGAAAAAAAAAGUGCAAAAAGUUAUUCUAAAUUAAUACAUACAAUGCGUAUGUGGAAUUUUCGUAGCUAGUAUAGGUGAGGGGUAGUAUUAAAAAUAAUUUUUUAAAAAUUAAAAUAUUAUUAUUGGAUAUUUAGUUUUUUUCCAUUCUGGGGUCAUUUUUUAUUUGUAAUUCAUAUGAAUUAUUGGUUAUUUAGUGAUUUGGGAUAACCUAAUCAGGUCGUGUAAAGAAUAAAUUACAUCGCGGCUUGAAACGUAGAAGAAAGGUCAAGCAAUAUCCUUCUGGGAUUCUUCUCAUUUCCAUCGCGGCUUGAAAUAGAGAGCCCAAAUAAGCAAGGGUAGUCUUGGAAUGGUCGACAUAUCAUUUUAUGGCGGAGGUGGAAAAUGCAUGUUAAUUAGGCCUUUGCAAGAAUGUUCUCUAGCGACAAAUUUACGAAAAAUGUAAAAAUAAAAAAUAAAAAAGUUGCAAGAACUUAUUCCAAAUACAUCCAAUACAAUGUAUUUGUUUUUGCGGUUAGAUGAUUUUAAAAAAAAAAAUUUCUUUAGAUUGAUUUUUUAAAUGUUUUUAUAUUAUUUUGAUAUUUUAAUUCUAAAAUAAACUUUCAAAUAUACAAAAAAAAAAUUAUUUUAAAAUACAACAUCAGCACGUAUCAUGGAUAAUUUACAGUAGUGGUUCGUGGAAGUUGCCGCGCGAUAACUACCGUCGAUCAACUAGUAUUAGGUGAGGGGCCCUCACGCAACUUUCUCUGCUUAAUGUUCAAUGUAUCUCAUCAGUCCAAAACAUACCUCAUUUCACAGCAUACAUCCGGACACAUGAACAUGUCGUCGGUUUAGCGAUCCAUGAAAUGUUGUCAGUAUGAUCAAUAAAUAAAUCCUGGAGUUAAUGAAUUUUUUUAUUUUUUUUUAAUUUUAUCUCUAUUAUUUUUUUAAUUGUUAUUUUUUAUUUUAAUUAAAUUUUGUUUUUAAUUUAAUCCCUUAAUAUUUAAUUUCAAAAUAUUUUUAUACCAAAUUUAAUCCUUAUUCUUUAUAUUACUAUUUAUUUUGGAGCCUUUUUUAUUUUAUUUUUUUUAUUUCAUCCUUAAACAUUUGAUUUAUUGGAAAUUAAUUUUUAAUUUUUUAUUUGAACUUUUCUUUAUGUUUAAUUAUUUCAAAUCAUAUGCUUAUAUAGUUGCAUAGGAUUGAGAUAACUGCAACAUUUGUGAAUUUGAACAGGUAUUGGAGGAGAAUCUUGACUGGAAGGAUGUGCAAUGGUCACAAACUGGUGUUUGGAUAGCUGGAAAGGAAUUCACGCAUGCUAGGGUGCGCUUUCUAUCUCCAAGUUAGCUAUGGCUUCCUGUGUAUCUUCUACAAAUGGUUGUGCAAAAAUGUGAUGCAUGCAGGAAUAAUAUUAUUUGGUUUUUAAUGGUUUUAUUUCUAAAAUAAAUCAAAGAAUUGAAGUUAAUUGGGUAGUCUUGGAAUGGUCGACAUAUAAUUUUAUGGCGGAGGUGGAAAAUGCAUGUUAGGCCUUAAUUUGCAAGAUGUUCUCUGGAUACAAUGAGUUGCUAGGGAAGAUUACGUUCAAUGUAUCUCAUCAGUCCAAAACACACUUCAUUUCACAGUAUCCUUUUCAUGGAUAUAUACAAUGAGUUGCUAGGGAAGAUUACGUUGUUCACUGGUAAUUUUUUUCCCAUUUCACUAAUAUAAAACGAGAGCCUUGAAGAAGUGGUUGACGUAAAUUUUCCUUGUUUUUAUUGGAUUUUUUUUUGUGUUAUUUUCAAUUUUAAGUCAAUUAAUUUUCUUUUAUUUUUAGGAUUUUGAUCCCAUAGUCUAUUUAAAAUACAUAUGAGUUUCUCAUAUGUGAUCUUACCAAAUCGAACCCACCAACCACACCUCAUAAACAGAUGAGUUUCUCACCAAACUUGACACUUUCAUGCAUCAAUGCUUUGGUGUCUUAAUUCUCUUUUGAUCUUCGUUGUUGAAGUUUUCCCCUCUUCAUUUUUGUGCAGACAUGAAGAUGUGAAUCACUAUGAGUUGAAGGCACCACAUCCAAAAAUGGCUCACCCUUGGCCAGACCACUUCCCACUGCAAGUAGCCAUGGGUGCAGCGGGUGACGAUGCUGAAGCCAAAUUAGUGCGCAGAAGUUGGACUAAUGGUACCCUUAAUUUCUUAUGCUUCCUACCAGUUCACAGCCCCUAAAUAAAAUCUUCAUCAACAUUACAAGUGCUCCUGGAAUUCUUGUAGGCUGACAUUAUUAGCUAUAAAAUGAUAAUCUUGUGGAUGAUCAUGUGAAAUUACCCUAAACUGAAAAGAAAAAAAAGUCAUUCAAAGUAAUUACAACAAAUUCUAAAUUUUUAACAAAUUUGUUAUAUAUCGAGAUGAUUUCUUAUCUUUAAUAAAUAGAUCCAUUUUAAUAAUGCAUUGCAGUUAAUUUAUCCCUAAUUUCACAAAUCAACUCGUAAAUACUUGUUGCAUAGAUAGUUCACAUAUCUAUGUGAUUUUAUUUACAAUGUGAUUUUAUUGGGUCCCUAAUAUUUGAAACAAAUGAAAAUUUCACAAAUCAAUUGGGUCCCUAAUAUUUGAAACAAAUGAAAAUUUACAAUGAAGAAUUUAUAUGUGAUUUUAUUUUUAGGAAUUUUUUUUGUUAAAGAUAUUUUUUUUCCCCACUAGAUUCAAGAUUUGUUUUGAAAGAUGGUUAUUUGUAUACGGUGAAAAAGUCUGAUUUAAGAAUCUGAAUCUCCCUAUGACGGAUUAGAAUUGCAUAACAAUCGCCUUAUUACAUAUUUUCUUGGUAAAUAUAUUUAGAAAAAUCAUUAUUAGUUGUAAUAUUGGGAAAGAAUUAUAUUGAACUAAUUUACAUUUAUUUAUUUAUUGUAUUCAAAAAUUAAAAAAAAUAUAUAUGUCACAGCAAUUCUAGAAACCAGGCACCCGAGAAACCCCGCAUCCUCGAAGAGGAAGAAGGCGGUGUCGUUUUCUUUGCCCCCUCUCUCUUCCGCCUCCUCCUCUUCCUUCAGGUUUGGAUAUGCAAGUAUUGGGAGUAAAAGGCAGAGAUUGAUUUUUAAGCUGAUGGGAAUACAUUCACCUGAUGGAAAAUUCUAAGGAUGCAUUGGAGUCAGGACUUUUAAUUGCCAGUAUUAUCCAAGGAUGACUACAUACUGCAUGCUUCUAAAACAAAUGAAAAAUACCAAGUUAUUAAACAUAAGCUAUCUUCAACUACCAGAUCUCCUGGCUUUAAUUAAAAAAAAAAAAAAAAGUAAUAAUCCCAACAAUAUGGAAAUCACUGUUGUCACUUCCCUUUCUAUUAUGAAAAUUUAAUUUAUAAUUGGUUUGAGUUUCGAAUAGAAAGAUUUGCCAAAGGAAAGGUUUUAAAUUCUGCCUUCCAUGGACUCUAGCCUCAGCAUUCCGACUCAUACUAUCUGUUAUAAAUUAUGUGUUUGAGUUGCUUGUAAUCUUCAAUGAAUCGAAAUAUUCGAGUUGUGAAUAGUAAGGUUCUAACAACCAAUGGAAUUUCCAUUAGCUUCCCUAAAAAGUUUCAAACCUUUUACAUUGCCUGAAUAAGGGUUUCUUCAUACCGUCUGAUUCUUAUUAGUUUCAUUGCGUGAAUUUAACCAGCCUUUAUCUGAAAGUUUUGGGAGGUUUAGAAUUGAAUGAUAAGGAAGCACAGAUCAUGAGAAAGGUUUAAGAGAUUUGGUGAGGGAAAUUAGGGAAUCAAUAAGAAAUUAGGCUUAGAGGAAGACUAGCUAUUGAAGUCAUUGCAAUUUGCAAGCAACUUCAUGUUUUUUUACUCUAAAGAAAUAAAACAGAGGUGCAAAUCCCUUGUGCUAUCUUUGUCCUGUAUGCAAUGAUUACUCCCAUGGAGACCACCAUGCAAAGUUUUAGUCACUUUCUGCUUUAUUAUUCGACGAGUUCACAUUACACUGCUUUAAGUCCUCGAGUCUAAUGAAUUAAUGAAGAUAGAAACUCCGAAGAAAAUCACUUGGCCAGAAAUAACAUGCUUCAAUACUGGGGUCCGCAGCUAGCAUGGAUAAAACUAUCUCCUUCCUUGUUAGAGAGGGCUCUGACAUUGCUUCCCAUCUGGCACACUGUAACUUGCAGAUCCGUUUGGCUUUUGAGCUGUGGACUCCCCAUCACUUCAACUGAUUUGUUGUUUGUUUGACCACAAGAUGUUGAUUGUCUAGGGAAAUUCCAAGGACGCAUUGGGGUCAGAACUUUUAAUUGCCAGUAUUAUCCAAGGAUGAUUACAUACUGCAUGCUUCUAAGACAAAUAAAAUAUGUAUCAGUUCAUUUAAUGUAUUAGUUCUAAUUAAGUCAUUAAACAUAUUUGCUAGUUCGUGAUCAUUCCAAUUUUCUUGUUGCUGCUGUUAUCCAUUAACUCUCGUAUUUCUUGACUUAUCUGUCAGUAAAAUGAUUAAUGUUUCUUUUAAUUUUUAUGCCUGCAUAACGUAUCAGGAUAAAUACAGCAUUAGUGAUGCGAUCCAAUCAUUAAAGAAUCCAUUGGAGGUUCCUGUUAGUCCAGUUACUAGGUUUAGAGUGAGCUAAGAAGUUGAAAGAAGCUUUUAAUAGACUUCUUAAGGAGACAUGGGCUAAGGUGGACUUCAAGAGGAUUUGUAAUAAUAAAGAGCAAGCCUUGAUUAAUCUGAUUCAUGUUCAAGAGGGGCUUGUUGGUAGAACCAAAACCAUUACACAAAGAUUGAGAGAAGAAGACUAAAUUCGGAGAGUUUAACCUUUUGUUACUCUUUUGGUCAUAACUGGAGCUAUAGAUAUAUUUUUUUAUGUGAUUCAAGUUGUUCUGAAAACUAGACUUCCAUACCUUUCCAACGGUAUAUGGCACGUCUUCUAAUUCAUUAAGACGAGAGAGAACCAUUUGUUUUAAGUUGAACUUUUGCUGCUGCUCCCAUACAAAAUGCGGAAACAACAAAAUUGUCUUAUUUAAUUAGUUGGGCUAUCAAACUUCAUUUAUUUUGAGAGGAGAACAACAAAAUUAUCUUAUUUAAUUAGUUGGGCUAUCAAACUUCAUUUAUUUUGAGAGGAGACAUUUUAUUUAGGUCUUAGACUUGUUUAUUUUAAUUAGUUUGGGCUAGUUUUAACUUGGGUUGAUUAUUAUUUAAAUUAGGCUUAUGUGAGACCCAUUAGGGAAACUAGGGUUUUGGCUUGGAGUUUAAAUAUUUUUUAGGAAUAAUUUUAGGGCAGACUUGUGAUGAUAUUUUUAGCAUUGUAGUUGAUUUUUUGGUUGCUUAAUCUUGGUUCUUAAUUGAACUUUCAACUCUUCAAAGAAUCGACCAUUUUUUGUUGUGAAUUUAUACUUUCUUUGCUCGUCUCCAGGUGUAGGCUUUGUGAUCGAAUUGGUUUAUAUUCUUAUUGCUUUUGAGCAAGUUUUCCAUUGUGAUAAGCUCAUUCAAAUCUCAACAAACUUAGAUUAGAUUGAUUUUGAAGUCGUGAAUUCCAUUAAAUUCCGCUAGGAUUCGUAUCACUUAGUAUUGUUGCCGACAAGAGUUUGAAAAAGCCUCUCUAUACCUCUCCACGUUUGAACAAGGGAGAAGUUCUAUAUUUAGAAACACAUUCAUGCAGGUACUCCCUCUCUUUUUUUUUUUUGUGCUUUCUAAUUUGAAAAAAUAUAUUAAAAAAUAAUAUAAAUCAUAAAAACACUAAAUCUAUAUAAGUUUAUGUACAUCACAAACAGAUUUUGGAGCUUAAAAAAACUCCCUUGUGAAAUAAAUUAAAUAAAUAUGAAGUUUCAGUUUUCUUCAUCGAUCUUAUGUUCUUAUUUUUUGAGAGGGUCCUUGGCUACUAGAAACAAGAAUCACACCCCUAUGGGUUCAGUAGCUUUAUUCAGCCAUGCCAUCUCAGAUUCAUCCAAAUAAGGGGCCAGAAUAUCCCUACAUCUCCCAUGGUAGCUGUUAAGCCAAUUUAUCACUUCAGGACCUAGACUGGUAAAGUCGAUCAUCUUCGUUUGAUACGGUGCCCAAGUUUUGUGCUCGAAAGAUAAGUAGCCCUAUUGUCACCAAAAUUGAAUUUUGUAUCGGCCUCCUUGACGAUAAGCACAUUCUCCAAUCUUAUCCCGAAGUUCCCAUCCUCAUAGUAUCCAGGUUCAUCUGUUACAGUCAUGGAAGCUAAUUACGAGCAUGUGGUCUGAAACUAAUUAAAUGAGGUCCUUCAUGUACAUUUAGGUAUGAUCCAAUACCAUGACCAGUGCCAUGUCGAUAAUCAAGAGUCCAAGACCAUCCUUCCAUAAAGGAAUUAGAACAAGAAUGUCAAGGGCAUGACCGUUAGUUCCGUUGAGAAAACAAGCAUUACCCAAAGCAAUGUGACCCUUGAGAACCUGGUUCGCUGGAGACGAAGUUGAUGAUGGUGUGCUGGCUAGCCAAUGCUACCCCCCUGUUUCUGUUUUUUCUUUGUUUGUUUUAUGGUGUUUUUUGGUUUUUUAUCUAUUGAAUAUAAAUUAUAUCUUAAGAAUUUAUCUAAUAAUUUAAAAUAUUAAAUUAAAAUAAUUCUUUGACAUAUUCAAUCUGAUAUAUACAUUUUGCCUUGAAAAAAAAGGGCAGCACGCGUUUUCUUCAAUUAUGGAUAAGAAAUGAUUUUUUUUUUCUGAGAAGAAAUAAUGAUCCAUUUUAAAGGCCUUCAGAUUUCAACACAUGAAGGGAUGCAUACAUAUCUCAGGAAUUAACAAUGGUGGAGGGAUAGCUUUUAAAUGCCACUGAUUUCUUGAUCACAAAACGCACCGUACUAAGCUGUCGUUAAGCCGCUACUUAUGCGCACCGUUUCAAUAAAUUGUAAUUCUCAUUACUGGGAAGGUUGUCAAGUCAGCACCGUCUUCUGCUCUGCCUAAAUAUACCGGCAGUUGUAACAGAAUGGGCAUGCAAAAAAUGAAUGAGAACUGCUGUGGAUUCCCUCUCUUCUCCCCGUCUUUCUCUCUCUCCUUCUCUGUCUUCUCAAUCUUUCUGGUUCAACACAUAUUGGAGGAUUCUUAAUCGGGUUGUUACCUAUAGAUCCGUGAUCUUAUACCAGCUUUGUGAUGUAUGCAGGGAUAAUAUUGGUCUUUAAAUGGUUUUAUUUCUUAAAUAAAUCAAAGAAUUUAAGUUAAUCUCUUUUCUUUUUUUGUUCAAAAACAAUCUACUAGACUAUUUUAUCCCGAUCUAAUUAUCGAAAAAUUAAAAAAGAACAUACAACCUGUUUAAUAUAUUUAUUUAAAGGUUUGUUCCAUAAUCCUAUAUAUUUUUUAACGAAACUAGUCAUUUUUUUUUCAAAACCCAAAAAUUAAAUGGUUUUCUUGAAAUUUAAUUCAUAAAAAAACAAAUAAUAAGACUGAAUAAUAACUAAUUAAAUAAUUCUCAAUUAUUCAUCAAACCAAUCUAAAAAGACUAAUAUUACAGGUAGGGACCAACUAGAAUUUUAGCAGAUUUUUAGGAGUAAUAUUAAUUAGAGGACCAAACUGAAAAUAUCAUAAAUUCAUAGCUAUACUGGAAGUUUGCCCAUAAAUCAUUCUCUAUUUUGUCUAGAAUCUCUAAUUAUGCUGGAAUUUUUGUUAAAUUUUUAGGGGUCAAUUGUAAUUUUCAAAUUAGAGGGCCAAACUGAAAAUGUCAUAAAUUUAUAAAUAUACUGGAAUCUUGCCCAUAAUUCAUCCUCAACUCUGUCCAGAAUCCCUAAUUAUGCUCCAGGGACCAUUUUAUAAUCUUUCCAAAGUUCAGGGACUAAACUGUAAUUUUCAUAUAUUGAGAGACCAAACUGAAAUUUCAUCAUUUUCAACCUUAAACCUAGAUUUUUUCACAGAUCACCUCCUGAUUCACCAAAAUCUCUAACUCAAAUUCAUCAUUUAAACAGACCAUAACUCAAAAUCAUCAUUUUUAUCUAAAAUCUUUCAAAAUCAACUAAAUAACUCAUUAUUCAAAAUAAUUAACUCAUAAUAUUCAAAUCAAUUCAUCAAUCAACUCAAAACAAAAUCUUCAAAACCCUAAUCUUCAACAAAACAGAAAAUCAAAGCUAAAAAAACACAUUUAUACACAUCAAAAUAUAAAUAUUACAUUUUAAACUUAUUUUUUCUAACUCUCUUCUCUUUUAUUUAUCUUUCCCUCUUUUCUCCUCCUCCUCUUCUUUCCCUUUUCUUUUCUCCUGCCCGUUCUCACUCUCAAAUUUCAAAUCCCUCUUUCUUUUUUCCUUUUAUUUAUUCUUAGUAAGGUUUUAUUCAAUUACCACAAUACCUCUUAUUCAUUUAUAUAUACUGUCACACGUCAGAAAAAUCCGCGCGGCGUCGGCUGGCGAUUUUAUCAUUGUUGUGUUAUUUGAUUUGAUUUGUUGGAGUCGCCACCUAGUAAUUUAUUGAAGGCUACUAGGAAACCGGAUGUACUGGUCUUAUCAGAGAUUCGCGGGUAAGGGACUGGUUGUGGUUAGGGAAGGUAUUAGCACCCCUAACGCACCCUACCUGAGGUAAGCUGCUUCGCAAAUUUGAUGUGUUUAAAGAAGUUUUAAUAAUUGUUUUUUCAUCGGAUAUUAGAAAUACAACUUACGUAUAAGUUAAUAAUUCUUUACCGUGAUCCAAUCAAAAUAUUAAAUUCUUCUUUAAUCUUUGCAAUUUCAUCAUAAAAAAUAUAUAUAUAAAAAAAUACAAACAAAUACAAACACACACAUUCACUCUUCCUAUAUUUUUGUUUCUUUUCUUUUCUUUUCCUUUCUUUUGUUACAUCCAAAUUCACAACAUACAAAUAAAAAUUCAAACUAAACAAAUAUUACAUUAAUCAAUUUAAAAAUUACAAAAUAACCCCUCAAAAAUCCAUAACAGUGCUGGGAAGCCCUUCCGGAACAGCAUGAACAGUGGUGGCGCGUCUUCCCACGCGCCACCGUCACUGGCGGCGCGUGGGUUCUUAUCUUUAAUAAAUAGAUCCAUUUUAAUAAUGCAUUGCAGUUAAUUUAUCCCUAAUUUCACAAAUCAACUCGUAAAUACUUGUUGCAUAGAUAGUUCACAUAUCUAUGUGAUUUUAUUUACAAUGUGAUUUUAUUGGGUCCCUAAUAUUUGAAACAAAUGAAAAUUUCACAAAUCAAUUGGGUCCCUAAUAUUUGAAACAAAUGAAAAUUUACAAUGAAGAAUUUAUAUGUGAUUUUAUUUUUAGGAUUUUUUUUUGUUAAAGAUAUAUAUUUUUUCCCCACUAGAUUCAAGAUUUGUUUCGAAAGAUGGUUAUUUGUAUACGGUGAAAAAGUCUGAUUUAAGAAUCUGAAUCUCCCUAUGACGGAUUAGAAUUGCAUAACAAUCGCCUUAUUACAUAUUUUCUUGGUAAAUAUAUUUAGAAAAAUCAUUAUUAGUUGUAAUAUUGGGAAAGAAUUAUAUUGAACUAAUUUACAUUUAUUUAUUUAUUGUAUUCAAAAAUUAAAAAAAAUAUAUAUGUCACAGCAAUUCUAGAAACCAGGCACCCGAGAAACCCCGCAUCCUCGAAGAGGAAGAAGGCGGUGUCGUUUUCUUUGCCCCCUCUCUCUUCCGCCCCCUCCUCUUCCUUCAGGUUUGGAUAUGCAAGUAUUGGGAGUAAAAGGCAGAGAUUGAUUUUUAAGCUGAUGGGAAUACAUUCACCUGAUGGAAAAUUCUAAGGAUGCAUUUGUAGCAAAUUGUCAACAUUUGCAAUUGUCAACAUGUUUUCUCAACCACUCUCAACUACCCUCUCCACUACCAACCACCCUCUCCUUUACAACCACUAUAUUUAUGCUUCCCCUUCUCAUGUAGACAGAAGUGAGGAACGAGAGAGGAAGAGUGCAGUGUGUGUGCAAGAAGUAAGUGUGCAGAGAAGUGUGGUGAGUGCAACUGUGAGAGAGAGUGCAAGUGCAGAUUUGAGAGAAAAGAGUGUAAGAGUGAAACACUGGUUUUUGUGGGUUGUAUUGGGUUGAGUUGAGUGUUUGUAUUAUUCCUCCAUUAAUAUACAAUCUGCUGCCUCCGUGGACGUACCCGGUUUUGGGGAACCACGUAAAUCUGCUUGUGAUUGUGUUUUAUUUGUGUUUGCUUUCGGUUCAGUAUGCACAACAAAUUGGUAUCAGAGCAUUAGGGAAGCUAGAACACUGAAAAAACACGUUUUUCAGCUCUCUGUUCAAGGUUGCAGAAUUUUCAAAGUUCUCAGAUCUUGAUUUUGACCAGCUGCGGAGAUUCCUCUCUUCCAUACGAGUCCGGCGAUAUAAAGAUCGUCGAAAUCGGAGUUGAAACGAGCCCUGUAGAGCUCGCCGCAGUUUCGCCGGAAAUCUGCCGGAAAAACCAGUCAGUGCAGGAAUUCUCGCCUGAGAAGACAGCCACGUCAUCCGACACGUAGGCGCUGAGUCAUCAUCCACGUCAUCAACAGAAGGGUCCACAUCGCCCUGUCAUCAGCCACGUCAUCCAACGGUGACAGAAUAUUCUCUUGACAGAAUCAGAAUAUUCCGUUAUCAGUAAGAGCAUAUUCCCGUGACAGAAUAUUCUUUAUCAGAGACAGAAUAUUCCUUCCCUGAGUCAACUCGGUCAGAUUGGUUUUUUGGCCAACUCAGUGAUUUUUUGACCCGUUUUUGGCCGAGUCAAGUUGGUUCCUAGCAUUUUCAACCAUUCCGGACGCAACCGUGGUGUCCGUUUUGUUAAAAAGCAUACCGAAGUUACUGUUUAGGCACUUUUGAGCAUAAAAGUGUGUGUUUUAACAAGUUCGGGAUUCCAUUUGUAAUCCAAAGACGUCCUAAUGGCUGAUAUUCCAGAAGAAAAAUCAGCGGGGAAUGCUAGUAUACCUCCACAAUACAUCCCGGUAUCGAGUACCAAAUUUGAGGUGGAGAAGUUUGAUGGGAAAGGUAAUUUUGGCAUGUGGAAAUGUGAAGUCAUGGAUAUGCUUGUCCAAAUGAAUUUGGAUUUCACUCUAGAAGAUAAACCGGAGGAUUUGGAUGAUAAAAGCUGGGAAAGGAUAAAUCGGUUGGCUUGCAGUUCUAUCCGACUUUGUCUUGUAAAGGAUCAGAAGUACGCCUUUUCAGAACAAAACUCUACAAAGGAAUUAUGGCAAGCACUGGAGGACAAGUUUAUGAAGAAGAGUAUAGAGAAUCGUCUUUACUUGAAGAAAAGGAUCUUCCGGUUUCAGCACAAGAAAGGUACUUCUAUGAAUGAGCAUCUGAAUGAUUUCAAUAAAAUGAUAGCUGAUUUGAAGAAUUUAGAUGUGGAAAUUGAUGAUGAAGAUAAAGCUCUACUAUUAUUAAAUUCACUGUCUGACACAUAUGAACAUCUUGUCACCACCUUACUGUAUGGUAAAGAAAAGAUUAAAUUCAUUGAUGUGUCCAAUGCUUUGGUGAACAAUGAGUAUCGGAAGAAGGACCAGAUUGUUCACAAGGAGUCAACAUCAGAAGCAUUGACAGUUAGAGGCAGAACAAACCCCAGAAGAUUUUGAGGGCGAGGGAGAUCUCGCUCAAAAUCCAGAGGAGAAUCAUCAAACAGACGAUAUCUUGCAAAAGAUGAGUGUGCCUUUUGUCACAAAAAAGGGCACUGGAAGAAAGAUUGUCCAAUCAAGGGCAACAAGGAAAAAGAUGAACCAACUAUGAACGUUGCACGAGAUGAGGAUGAACAAGACUCUGCAUUCAUGGUCUCAUCACCAGAAAACCAUUCUGGUGAAUGGAUUCUUGAUUCUGCAUGUUCCUAUCACAUGUGCCCUAACAAGCACUUAUUCUCGAGACUCGAGGAGUUCGAUGGAGGAGUUGUGUUGAUGGGUAAUGAUGAUGUUUGUGAGAUCAAAGGGAUUGGGACUAUCCAUCUGAAGAUGCAUAAUGGGGUAGUCAAGACACUAACAGAUGUACGAUAUGUACCUGAGUUGAAGAAAAAUCUCUUCUCACUUGGAGUUCUAGAAUCCAGUGGUUAUAAGAUUAUCAUGCAAGGUGGAGUUCUCAGAGCAAUCCGUGGUGCAUUAGUUGUCUUAAGAGGCACGAGGACAGGAAACUUAUAUUUCCUGGAUGGAUCUACAAUUACUGGUACAGCAGCUGUUUCCAAAAGUAUAGAAGAUGAUGAAGCAGAUAAUUCCAGACUUUGGCACAUGCGUUUAGGGCAUGCUGGUGAAAAGGCUUUGCAAGGAUUAGUCAAGCAAGGUCUAUUAAAAGGCGCCAAGACUGGGAAGCAUGGGUUCUGUGAGCAUUGUGUUCUUGGAAAACAGACAAGGGUCAAGUUUGGCACUGCAGUACACAACACAAAAGGGAUCCUAGAUUAUGUUCACACAGACGUAUGGGGACCUUCAAAGAAUGAAUCUCUUGGAGGUAAUCGUUGGUUUGUUACUUUUAUUGAUGAUUUUUCAAGACGAGUAUGGGUGUACAUGAUGAAACACAAGGAUGAGGUCCUUGGUAUCUUUCUGAAAUGGAAGAAAAUGGUGGAGACUCAAACUGGAAGGAGGGUUAAGACUCUUCGGUCAGAUAAUGGUGGUGAGUACACUUCAGAUCCUUUCUUUGAAGUUUGUCAGGAUGAAGGGAUCAAGCGACAUUUUACUGUUCGCAAAACACCACAACAAAAUGGAGUAGCGGAACGCAUGAACCGCACAUUGGUGGAGAAAGUCCGAUGUAUGCUAUCACAUUCGGGACUAAGCAAAGUGUUCUGGGGCGAGGCAUUAAGCUAUGCUCGUCAUAUUGUUAACCGGUUACCUUCAGCAGCAUUAAAUGGAAGAACCCCCUUAGAGGUAUGGUCAGGCUCUCCUGCAAAUGAUUAUGACUCUAUGCGUAUAUUUGGUUGCUCAGCAUAUUAUCAUGUUACUGAAUCCAAGUUAGAUCCUAGAGCCAAGAAAGCUAUAUUUUUGGGCUUUAGUGGAGGAGUAAAAGGCUACAGACUCUGGUGUUCUGAAUCAAAGAAAGUGAUCUUGAGUAGAGAUGUCACUUUUGAUGAGUCUGGCAUGUUACAGCAAGAGAAAUCACAGGAGAAGGAAAAACAGUCUGGUGAUGCACAACAGGUGGAGUUGGAGACUUCAGUCAUCCCUAUAAAGACUGUUCAGACAAUCUCUACUGAAGGAGAUUCAGAUGAAAGUUCAGAUGAAGAGGAUGCAACAACUCCAGCAACCACACAACAAGAAUCCAUUGCAACGAGUAAACCAAAAAGGGUUAUCAAGAAACCUGCUCGGUAUUGUAACAUGGUGGCUUAUGCACUUCCGGUGAUUGAUGAUGGAAUCCCCUACACCUACAAAGAAGCAGUACAGAGUGUAGAAAGUGCAAAAUGGAAAGAGGCAAUGGAUGAAGAGAUGAAAUCUCUCCACAAGAAUCAGACUUGGGAUUUGGUACAACUCCCUAAAGGAAAGAAGACAAUUGGUUGCAAGUGGGUAUAUGCAAAGAAGGAAGGUAAUCCUGGAAAAGACAACAUCCGUUUCAAAGCAAGAUUGGUAGCAAAAGGCUAUGCUCAGAAGGAAGGGAUAGAUUAUAAUGAGGUAUUCUCUCCAGUUGUUAAGCAUUCAUCAAUCCGUAUUCUGUUAGCCUUGGUUGCACAGUUUGACUUGGAGUUAGCCCAACUUGAUGUGAAAACUGCCUUCCUACAUGGAGAUUUGGAAGAGGAAAUUUACAUGUCUCAGCCAGAUGGUUUCAAAGUCACUGGAAAAGAGAAUUGGGCUUGUAAACUGAAGAAGUCAUUAUACGGAUUGAAACAAUCUCCUCGCCAGUGGUAUAAGCGAUUUGAUAAGUUCAUGGCAGAACAUGGAUACACACAGAGUCAGUUUGAUCACUGUGUAUAUUUUCACAAACUUCUUGAUGGUUCUUUCAUCUAUUUGCUCUUAUAUGUGGAUGAUAUGUUGAUCGCAUCGAAGAGCAAGGUGGAGAUUGAUAGACUGAAAGCUCAACUGAGAACUGAGUUUGAAAUGAAGGACCUUGGAGAAGCUAAGAAGAUUCUUGGCAUGGAGAUUCAGAGAGACAAAAGAAAAGGCACAGUCUGUUUGACACAAACCCAAUACUUGCAGAAAAUUCUACAGAGAUUUGGGGUAGAUGGUAAGACUAAGCCUGUAAGCACACCUUUAGCUCCUCAUUUUAAGCUAAGUGCUUCAAUGUCUCCACACACAGAGGAAGAGCGCAAACAUAUGGCUCAAAUUCCGUAUGCAAAUGCAGUUGGUGCAUUAAUGUAUGCAAUGGUUUGUACGAGACCAGAUAUUUCACAUGCUGUCAGUAUGGUGAGCAGGCAUAUGCAUGAUCCGGGAAAGGGUCACUGGCAGGCAGUUAAGUGGAUUCUACGGUACAUUCAUGGCACAACUGAUAUUGGUUUGAAGUUUGAGAGGGAUGAUAGACUCGGGCAAAAUUUAGUUGGUUAUGUGGACUCGGACUAUGCUGGUGACUUAGACAAGCGUCGUUCAACAACAGGUUAUGUGUUUACACUUGCUAAAGGGCCUGUAAGUUGGAGGUCAACAUUACAAUCAACAGUAGCUUUGUCAACAACUGAGGCAGAGUACAUGGCAGUAACGGAAGCUUUCAAAGAAGCUAUUUGGUUACAUGGGCUGAUUGAAGAUUUGGGAAUUGUUCAAGAGCACGUGGAUGUCCAUUGUGAUAGUCAAAGUGCUAUUUGUCUUGCAAAGAAUCAGGUUCAUCAUUCCCGCACCAAGCACAUCGAUGUUCGAUUUCAUUUUGUUCGAGAAAUUAUGGAUGAAGGGGAUAUUCUGCUACAGAAGAUUGGUACUGCAGAUAAUCCAGCUGACAUGCUCACAAAAUGUGUCUCAGGGAUCAAGUUCCAACAUUGUUUGGACUUGGUCAACAUCUCUCGGUGUUGAGCACCUUCAGGGUGCAGCGCCAUAUGGCGCAUCAGAGGCAGCAUUGAUUGAUCACGAGGAUUGCCUGGAAAAAUCUUGCCAAGGUGGAGAUUUGUAGCAAAUUGUCAACAUUUGCAAUUGUCAACAUGUUUUCUCAACCACUCUCAACUACCCUCUCCACUACCAACCACCCUCUCCUUUACAACCACUAUAUUUAUGCUUCCCCUUCUCAUGUAGACAGAAGUGAGGAACGAGAGAGGAAGAGUGCAGUGUGUGUGCAAGAAGUAAGUGUGCAGAGAAGUGUGGUGAGUGCAACUGUGAGAGAGAGUGCAAGUGCAGAUUUGAGAGAAAAGAGUGUAAGAGUGAAACACUGGUUUUUGUGGGUUGUAUUUGGUUGAGUUGAGUGUUUGUAUUAUUCCUCCAUUAAUAUACAAUCUGCUGCCUCCGUGGACGUACCCGGUUUUGGGGAACCACGUAAAUCUGCUUGUGUUUGUGUUUUAUUUGUGUUUGCUUUCGGUCCAGUAUGCACAACAGCAUUGGAGUCAGGACUCUUAAUUGCCAGUAUUAUCCAAGGAUGACUACAUACUGCAUGCUUCUAAAACAAAUGAAAAAUACCAAGUUAUUAAACAUAAGCUAUCUUCAACUACCAGAUCUCCUGGCUUUGAUUAAAAAAAAAAAAAAAGUAAUAAUCCCAACAAUAUGGAAAUCACUGUUGUCACUUCCCUUUCUAUUAUGAAAAUUUAAUGGCAAUUAAACUAUCUCCUUCCUUGUUAGAGAGGGCUCUGGCAUUGCUUCCCAUCUGGCACACUGUAACUUGCAGAUCCGUUUGGCUUUUGAGCUGUGGACUCCCCAUCACUUCAACUGAUUUGUUGUUUGUUUGACCACAAGAUGUUGAUUGUCUAGGGAAAUUCCAAGGACGCAUUGGGGUCAGAACUUUUAAUUGCCAGUAUUAUCCAAGGAUGAUUACAUACUGCAUGCUUCUAAGACAAAUAAAGAAUGUAUCAGUUCAUUUAAUUUAUUAGUUCUAAGUCAUUAAACAUAUUGCUANNNNNNNNNNNNNNNNNNNNNNNNNNNNNNNNNNNNNNNNNNNNNNNNNNNNNNNNNNNNNNNNNNNNNNNNNNNNNNNNNNNNNNNNNNNNNNNNNNNNUACAUUAACUCUCGUAAUACUUGACUUAUCUGUCGGUAAAUUGAUUAAUUUUUCAAUUUUGAUGCCUGCAUAAUGUAUCAGUUUAAAAUACAGCAUUAGUAUUGUUGCUGACAAGGGUCUGAAAAAGCCAAACGGAUUACUGUUUCACAAGAUACUAACAUUAAUAAAUUGCAAAACAGUAUCGCCAAACGGAUUGGUUUAGAUCUUUCUAAUGAAGAUGAGGAGCUGUAUAGAGCUUCCAAAUUGUCAAAAGAAUUAACGAAGAAACAGAAAUGGGUUUUGAUUUUAGACGAUUUGUGGAAGGCUAUUGAGCUACACAAGGUGGGAGUCCCUAUCCAAGCUGUUAAGGGAUGCCAGCUGAUAGUUACAACACGAUUAGAAAAUGUUUGUCAGCAGAUGGGUAAACAACACAUAAUCAAAGUGGAGCCUAUUUCGAAGGAAGAAGCUUGGGCUUUGUUUAUUGAGAGACUUGGACACGACACAGCACUUUCUCCGGAAGUGGAACAAAUUGCAAAAUUUGUGGCAAGGGAAUGUGAUCGUUUGCCACUAGGAAUUAUAACCAUGGCUGCAACCAUGAGGGGAGUGGUUGACGUACGUGAGUGGAGGAAUGCAUUGGAGGAAUUGAAAGAAUCAAAAGUUAGAAAAGAUGAUAUGGAGCCUGAGGUAUUCCACGUAUUGAGAUUUAGUUAUAACCAUCUAAGUGAUUCAGCACUACAACAAAGUUUCUUGUACUGUGCAUUAUUCCCAAAGGACUUCAAGAUCCGUAGAGAGGAUUUGAUAGCUUAUUUGAUUGAUGAGGGAGUGAUAAAAGGGCUAAAGAGUAGGGAGGCAGAAUUUAACAAAGGCCACUCGAUCCUUAAUAAACUUGAAAGAGUCUGCCUAUUGGAAAGUGCUGAGGAAGGGUAUGUCAAGAUGCAUGACUUGAUUAGGGACAUGGCCAUCCAAAUACUACAAGAGAACUCUCAAGGCAUGGUCAAAGCAGGUGCACAGUUAAGAGAAUUGCCGGGAGAAGAGGAGUGGACAGAGCAUCUUAUGAGAGUUUCACUGAUGCAUAACGAGAUUAAAGAAAUUCCUUCCAGCCAUUCACCAAGGUGUCCCUAUCUUUCAACUCUAUUGCUAUGCAGAAACUCAGAGAUGCAAUUUAUUGCAGAUUCAUUUUUUGAGCAGUUGCGUGGACUCAAGGUUCUUGAUCUGUCUCGUACAAAUAUCACAAAACUGCCUGAUUCUGUCUCUGAAUUGGUGAGUCUCACUGCAUUACUGCUCAUUGGUUGUAACAUGUUAAGGCAUGUACCGUCAUUAGAAAAGCUCAGGGCACUGAAGAGGUUAGAUCUCUCUGGUACUUGGGCACUUGAAAAGAUUCCUCAAGGCAUGGAAUGUCUAUGCAACCUGAGGUAUCUGAGAAUGAAUGGAUGUGGUGAAAAGGAGUUUCCUAGGGGGUUGUUACCUAAGCUCUCUCACCUGCAAGUCUUUUUAUUGGAGGAGUGGAUUCCUCCUACUACCAAAGAUAAUAGAAAAGGACUGCCUGCUCUGAUAACAGUUAAAGGAAAGGAAGUGGCAUGCUUGAGCAAGUUGGAAAGUUUGGCAUGCCAUUUUGAAUAUUACUCAGACUACGUGGAGUAUGUCAAAUCUCGGGAU
This 26047-nucleotide long non-coding RNA is filed under the name Populus trichocarpa (black cottonwood). Its description in RNAcentral is "long non-coding RNA (PTRI_LNC004410)". Lineage: Eukaryota; Viridiplantae; Streptophyta; Magnoliopsida; Malpighiales; Salicaceae. The record is from RNAcentral.